UGUGCCUACGGGGGGCAGCAGUAGGGAAUCUUCCACAAUGGGCGCAAGCCUGAUGGAGCAACCCCGCGUGAGUGAAGAAGGGUUUCGGCUCGUAAAGCUCUGUUGUUGGGGAAGAACGUGCGUGAGAGUAACUGUUCGCGCAGUGACGGUAUCCAACCAGAAAGUCACGGCUAACUACGUGCCAGCAGCCGCGGUAAUACGUAGGUGGCAAGCGUUAUCCGGAUUUAUUGGGCGUAAAG
RNAcentral lists this ribosomal RNA (239 nucleotides) under uncultured bacterium. Its description in RNAcentral is "partial 16S ribosomal RNA". It matches the Rfam family "Bacterial small subunit ribosomal RNA", at positions 334 to 565 of the family's 1533-position model. The record is from RNAcentral.